This 325-nucleotide ribosomal RNA is filed under the name uncultured bacterium. RNAcentral describes it as "bacterial SSU rRNA". It matches the Rfam family "Bacterial small subunit ribosomal RNA", at positions 601 to 918 of the family's 1533-position model. The record is from RNAcentral.
AGUGCCUCACACCAUCAAAACUCGGCAAGUCGAAACUAUUAGACUAGGAGCUAUAGGUAGGGGUAAAGGGAAUCUCCAGUGGAGCGGUGAAAUGCGUAGAGAUUGGAAAGAACACCGAUGGCGAAGGCACUUUACUGGGCUAUUACUAACACUCACAGACGAAAGCUAGGGUAGCAAAUGGGAUUAGAUACCCCAGUAGUCCUAGCCGUAAACAAUGGAUACUAGAUGUUGAACAGAUCGACCUGUGCAGUAUCAAAGCUAACGCGUUAAGUAUCCCGCCUGGGAAGUAUGCUCGCAAGAGUGAAACUCAAAGGAAUUGACGGGG